CAGCAGCCACGGUAAUACGGAGGGGGCUAGCGUUGUUCGGAAUUACUGGGCGUAAAGCGCACGUAGGCGGCUUGGUAAGUUAGAGGUGAAAGCCCGGAGCUCAACUCCGGAAUUGCCUUUAAGAUUGCCGAGCUAGUAGGUGAGAGAGGUAAGUGGAAUUCCGAGUGUAGAGGUGAAAUUCGUAGAUAUUCGGAAGAACACCAGUGGCGAAGGCGGCUUACUGGCCCAUUCUAGACGCUGCGGUGCGAAAGCGUGGGGAGCAAACAGGAUUAGAUACCCCAGUAGUCCCUGUCUCUUAUAC
Molecule: ribosomal RNA, 301 nt
Filed under: uncultured bacterium
Lineage: Bacteria
Description: partial 16S ribosomal RNA
Rfam family: Bacterial small subunit ribosomal RNA
Source: RNAcentral